GGGCGGUUAGCUCAGCGGGAGAGCGCUUGCUUCACACGCAAGAAGUCGCAGGUUCGAUCCCUGCACCGCCCACCA
Molecule: transfer RNA, 75 nt
Filed under: Chloroflexota bacterium
Lineage: Bacteria; Bacillati; Chloroflexota
Description: tRNA-Val
Rfam family: tRNA
About the family: Transfer RNA (tRNA) molecules are approximately 80 nucleotides in length. Their secondary structure includes four short double-helical elements and three loops (D, anti-codon, and T loops).
Source: RNAcentral